This 459-nucleotide ribosomal RNA is filed under the name uncultured bacterium. RNAcentral's name for it is "partial 16S ribosomal RNA". It matches the Rfam family "Bacterial small subunit ribosomal RNA", at positions 338 to 795 of the family's 1533-position model. The record is from RNAcentral.
CCUACGGGUGACAGCAGGGAGGAAUAUUGGUCAAUGGGCGGGAGCCGGAACCAGCCAAGCCGCGUGAAGGAAGAAGGCGCCAAGCGUCGUAAACUUCUUUUGUCGGGGAACAAAGGGCGCCACGUGUGGCGUUGUGAGUGUACCCGAAGAAAAAGCAUCGGCUAACUCCGUGCCAGCUGCCGCGGUAAUACGGAGGAUGCGAGCGUUAUCCGGAUUUCGUGGGGGUCAAGGGGGCGUAGGCGGUCCGGAAAGUCAGCGGUAACAGCCCGGGGCUCAACCCCGGCGAGCCGUUGAAACUGUCGGACUCGAGACGGCGAGAAGUACGCGGAAUGCGCGGUGUAGCGGUGAAAUGCAUAGAUAUCGCGCAGAACUCCGAUUGCGAAGGCAGCGUACCGGCGCCGGACUGACGCUGAGGCACGAAAGCGUGGGUAUCGAACAGGAUUAGAUACCCCUGUAGUC